ACUGGCACAAGAAGAACCUUAUAUAUUAGUAACAAUACAGAGAAGAUUAGCAUGGCCUCUACACAAGAAUAACACACACAAAUCGAGAAAUAGUCCAGAUUUUA
This 104-nucleotide small nuclear RNA is filed under the name Nicotiana attenuata. Lineage: Eukaryota; Viridiplantae; Streptophyta; Magnoliopsida; Solanales; Solanaceae. The record is from RNAcentral.